Molecule: ribosomal RNA, 552 nt
Filed under: Cutibacterium acnes
Lineage: Bacteria; Bacillati; Actinomycetota; Actinomycetes; Propionibacteriales; Propionibacteriaceae
Description: bacterial SSU rRNA
Rfam family: Bacterial small subunit ribosomal RNA
Source: RNAcentral
AAGGCCCUGCUUUUGUGGGGUGCUCGAGUGGCGAACGGGUGAGUAACACGUGAGUAACCUGCCCUUGACUUUGGGAUAACUUCAGGAAACUGGGGCUAAUACCGGAUAGGAGCUCCUGCUGCAUGGUGGGGGUUGGAAAGUUUCGGCGGUUGGGGAUGGACUCGCGGCUUAUCAGCUUGUUGGUGGGGUAGUGGCUUACCAAGGCUUUGACGGGUAGCCGGCCUGAGAGGGUGACCGGCCACAUUGGGACUGAGAUACGGCCCAGACUCCUACGGGAGGCAGCAGUGGGGAAUAUUGCACAAUGGGCGGAAGCCUGAUGCAGCAACGCCGCGUGCGGGAUGACGGCCUUCGGGUUGUAAACCGCUUUCGCCUGUGACGAAGCGUGAGUGACGGUAAUGGGUAAAGAAGCACCGGCUAACUACGUGCCAGCAGCCGCGGUGAUACGUAGGGUGCGAGCGUUGUCCGGAUUUAUUGGGCGUAAAGGGCUCGUAGGUGGUUGAUCGCGUCGGAAGUGUAAUCUUGGGGGCUUAACCCUGAGCGUGCUUUCGAUAC